Molecule: unclassified non-coding RNA, 203 nt
Filed under: Hevea brasiliensis (rubber tree)
Lineage: Eukaryota; Viridiplantae; Streptophyta; Magnoliopsida; Malpighiales; Euphorbiaceae
Source: RNAcentral
GGCAAAUUGGGUCUUUAAUGAACCUAAAUAGAAUUUCAUUGACGCCUUCAAUGGUUGCCAGUGCUUCUGCAUGCUUUUGAUCUGAAGAAAGAAGCUCUAUCAACGCAGUAAUGGAGUUCUGCUUGGAUGAAAGAUCUCUGCAUUCCAAGAACCACAACAUGCAACGUAGAGAAUUGUGCGAGCCUAAAUGUAUUUGCGAUUCC